CCUACGGGUGGCAGCAGUGAGGAAUAUUGGUCAAUGGCCGGAAGGCUGAACCAGCCAAGUCGCGUGAGGGAAUAAGGCCCUAUGGGUCGUAAACCUCUUUUGUCAGGGAGCAAAGGCGUCCACGUGUGGACGAGAGGAGAGGACCUGAAGACAAAGCAGCGGCCAACUCCGUGCCAGCAGCCGCGGUAAUACGGAGGAUGCGAGCGUUAUCCGGAUUUAUGGGGUGGAAAGGGAGCGUAGGCGGCAGCGCAAGUCUGAAGUGAAAUCCCAUGGCUUAACCAUGGAACUGCUUUGGAAACUGUGCGGCUGGAGUGCAGGAGAGGUAAGCGGCAUUCCUCGUGUAGCGGUGAAAUGCGUAGAUAUUAGGAGGAACACCAGUGGCGAAGGCGGCUUACUGGACUGUAACUGACGUUGAGGCUCGAAAGCGUGGGGAGCAAACAGGAUUAGAUACCCGAGUAGUC
This 461-nucleotide ribosomal RNA is filed under the name uncultured bacterium. RNAcentral describes it as "partial 16S ribosomal RNA". It matches the Rfam family "Bacterial small subunit ribosomal RNA", at positions 338 to 795 of the family's 1533-position model. The record is from RNAcentral.